CAGCCGCCGCGGUAAUACGAAGGGUGCAAGCGUUACUCAGAAUUACUGGGCGUAAAGCGUGCGUAGGUGGUGGUUUAAGUCCGUUGUGAAAGCCCUGGGCUCAACCUGGGAAUUGCAGUGGAUACUGGGUCACUAGAGUGUGGUGGAGGAUAGUGGAAUUUCCGGUGUAGCAGUGAAAUGCGUAGAGAUCGGAAGGAACAUCUGUGGCGAAGGCGGCUAUCUGGGCCAACACUGACGCUGAGGCACGAAAGCGUGGGGAGCAAACAGGAUUAGAGACCCCCGUAGUCCCUGUCUCUUAUAC
This 301-nucleotide ribosomal RNA is filed under the name uncultured bacterium. RNAcentral's name for it is "partial 16S ribosomal RNA". It matches the Rfam family "Bacterial small subunit ribosomal RNA", at positions 509 to 807 of the family's 1533-position model. The record is from RNAcentral.